This 429-nucleotide ribosomal RNA is filed under the name Fusobacteriota bacterium. RNAcentral's name for it is "Fusobacteria bacterium partial 16S ribosomal RNA". It matches the Rfam family "Bacterial small subunit ribosomal RNA", at positions 355 to 776 of the family's 1533-position model. The record is from RNAcentral. Lineage: Bacteria; Fusobacteriati; Fusobacteriota.
UGGGGAAUAUUGCGCAAUGGGCGAAAGCCUGACGCAGCGACGCCGCGUGAGGGAUGAAGGUUUUCGGAUCGUAAACCUCUGUCAGAAGGGAAGAAACCGCACUGUGCUAAUCAGCAGUGCCUUGACGGUACCUUCAAAGGAAGCACCGGCUAACUCCGUGCCAGCAGCCGCGGUAAUACGGAGGGUGCAAGCGUUAGUCGGAAUUACUGGGCGUAAAGCGCACGUAGGCUGCUUUGUAAGUCAGGGGUGAAAUCCCACGGCUCAACCGUGGAACUGCCUUUGAUACUGCUUAGUUUGAAUCCGGGAGAGGGGGGCGGAAUUCCAGGUGUAGGAGUGAAAUCCGUAGAUAUCUGGAGGAACAUCAGUGGCGAAGGCGGCCACCUGGACCGGUAUUGACGAUGAGGUGCGAAAGCGUGGGGAGCAAACAGG